AGCUUACUUGAUGAGGAAUUUUCCCAUAUUAAAUCAGCUAUGAACAUGGUGGAAGAAAAGCUCAAGGGCUGCAGCAUGAGCGAGAGAGACUUAAAUUCUUCUCAAGUAGAUGAUUUAAAGUUCAAUGAACUUGAAUUUCAAAAUGUUCGGAUAAACAAUGAUGAUGGUUCAGAUUUGAUCUUUAAGGUAGUUAGUUCUUGCUUUUGCUCUAGACAUUUCUACAUCUUCACCCUUCCAUUUUAUUUUGGUAGUGUUCUCUUCUAGGAGUUUUCUUCCAUAAGAAGGUUUCUGUUGCACUCAAGUUUCUCACUUAUGCACUAAUAAUGAUGAAGAUUCAAAGUUCAAUGAAUAUGAAGUUCAAGAUGUUCGGAUAAACAAUGAUGAUGGUUCAGAUUUGAUCUUUAAGGUAUUUAGUUCUUGCUUUUGCUCUAGACAUUUCUACAUCUUUACCCUUCCAUUUUGCUUUGGUAGUGUUCUCUUCUAGGAGUUUUCUUCCAUAAGAAGGUUUCUGUUGCACUCAAGUUUCUUAGUUAUGCACUAAUAAUGAUGAAGAUUCAAGGGGCCAAAGCUAUUGUCUUUCUUAGAAUGUUAUGGUGAUAAUAACAAAUGUAUAACAUAUCUGUUAAAGAAAGAAAAGGACUAGACAUUGAG
This 651-nucleotide long non-coding RNA is filed under the name Nicotiana benthamiana. Its description in RNAcentral is "long non-coding RNA (NBEN_LNC003227)". Lineage: Eukaryota; Viridiplantae; Streptophyta; Magnoliopsida; Solanales; Solanaceae. The record is from RNAcentral.